ACGCACGCUGGCGGCAGGCUUAACACAUGCCAGUCGAGCGCCUCGCAAGAGGAGCGGCAGCCGGGUGAGUAACGCGUGGGCACGUACCCUUAUCUUCGGAAUAGCUCUGGGAAACUGGAAGUAAUACCGAAUGUGCCCUUAGGGGGAAAGAUUUAUCGGAUAAGGAUCGGCCCGCGUUGGAUUAGCUAGUUGGUGGGGUAAAGGCCUACCAAGGCGACGAUCCAUAGCUGGUCUGAGAGGAUGAUCAGCCACAUUGGGACUGAGACACGGCCCAAACUCCUACGGGAGGCAGCAGUGGGGAAUAUUGGACAAUGGGCGCAAGCCUGAUCCAGCCAUGCCGCGUGAGUGAUGAAGGCCUUAGGGUUGUAAAGCUCUUUCACCGGAGAAGAUAAUGACGGUAUCCGGAGAAGAAGCCCCGGCUAACUUCGUG
Molecule: ribosomal RNA, 430 nt
Filed under: uncultured bacterium
Lineage: Bacteria
Description: partial 16S ribosomal RNA
Rfam family: Bacterial small subunit ribosomal RNA
Source: RNAcentral